GAAAAAGCAAGUCAGAAAGACAAAGCAAGCAUCAGAACCAGACUCAGAUUUGACACAAAUUUGGAAAUUAUCAGAUAGAGAAUUUAAAAUAACUAUGUUUUAGAUUUUAAAGACUCUAAUGGAGGAAAUAGUCAACAUGCAAAAAUAGAUGUGUAAUGUAAGAAGAGUGAUGGCAACUCUAGGAAACAAUCAAAAGGAAAUGCUAGAAAUAAUAAAAAUCACUGACAUAAAUAAAGAAUGUCUUCAAUAGUUUCAUCAACAGAACAAGUUUGAGGAAAGAAUGAGUAAGCUUGAAGAUAAGUCAACAGAAAUAAUUUCGAAAGUAUAAUAUACAUCUAUUUGGAAUACCAGAAGGAGAAGAACAAGAACAAGAAACUAAAGAAAUAUUUGAAGUAACACUGUCAGAGGAUUUUCCCAAAUUAACCACAGCAAAUCACAAGUCAAGAAGUAGAGAACAGUAAACAGGAGAAAUACCAAAACAAUUAUACACAAACUUCAGAAAACCAAAGACAAAAAGAAAAUCUUCAAAGGAGUCAGAGAAAAAGUAACCUGACUUACAGCAAAACAGGACAAGAAUUAAAUUAGACUUCCCAUCAGAAACACAGAAGCAAGAAGACUGGAGUGAAGUAUUUAAAUGCUAAAAUAAAGAAAAAAAUACAAACUUGAGAAAUAAAGACUUCCUCAGACAAAUGCUGAGGGAAAUAAUCACCAUCAGACCUUCCCUGUAAGAAAAUAUUAAAAGAAGUUCCUCACGGAAAAGGAAGGUGAUAAAGGUCAGAAACUCAAAUCUGCGUAACAAAGGAAGAGUGCCAAAGAAGGAAUAAAUAAAGCUCUGGGCUGCGGAUUUUACCGCCCCUGCACAGAAGCCUGCAGCGUGGAGGCUCCCCUCGCGCUCGCCCAGACUCGGCUGCAGAAGGAGGACCCACCUCGCGUCUCCCCCGAGGCGCGCACCUCUGUCGCCACCCUCCACGCGCCUAGGAAGUUUUGAAGGUAGAGAAUCUGGGCCCCUCAACUUCCUCUGGACAUGAAUCAAACCGCAGGAGUCUCCAAUAGCGUCAGGUGUCCCCCGGGGAAAGGCCACAAGGCCACUUAUCUUCUAAGGGAUUAAGACUCUACCCGCCUGGCGCGGUGGCUCACGCCUAUAAUUCCAGCACUUUGGGAGGCCAAGGCGUGUGGAUCACCUGAGGUCAGGAAUUCGAGACCAGCCUGACCAACAUGGAGAAACCCUGUCUCUACUAAAAAUACAAAAAAAAAAAAAAUUAUCUGGGCAUGGUGGUGCAUGCCUGUAAUCCUAGCUACUCAGGAGGCUGAGGCAAGGGAAUCGCUUGACCCCGGGAGGUGGAGGUUGCGGUGAGCCAAAAUCGUGCCAUUUCAUGCCAGCUUGGGCAACAGGAGCGAAACUCCAUCUCAAAAAAAAUAAUAAUAAAAUAAAAUAAACCCCACCCACAGUCUCUUCUCUCCUAUUUGAAACACAGGACUCUGUCUCCUCCUAGAUACACACCAAGGUUGAACAAGCACUCCUAGGGGAAUAAAGCCACUAGUUGAGCCAUGCCAAUCAAAUCCUCUCUUUUGGAAACUUGAACAAAGACAUAGAGAUUACAAUGAGAAUUUGAAGGACGCUGUAUAAGAUACUAGACUGACAGCCGUGCAUGGUCAUGAGCAGCCCAGGGAUGACCACUGGGAGAAGAGAAGGCGGAGAGCAGCAGAGAUCACAGAAAUCAUGAGGCCCUGAAAAGUGAAGAUCCCGCCCUCACUUUCUCACUUUCCUGAUGCAGUCAUGUGAAAUUUGUCUUUACUUCCAUUUAUUUCCUUUCCAACUCUCAGUGUUCUGAAAUGUACCAUUACGUAAAAGUGACAGAAAAUGAAGAAAAACCAUUAAUUCCUAGUGGGAUUUCCCAUUUUUACUCUCACUCGCCAUUACCACCAAAUAAAACUGUUUUUGUUGAGCAAACUUUUCUAUAAGCCUCUUUGCAUUCUUACUUUGCAUCCCAGGAGGUACAAGUAAGAAAAAAAAAAAAAAAAAGGUCUUCUGAAUUCUUCUGAAUUAUUUUCUAAGUAGAAGUGGGAGUGAUGGCUAUUUUCCAGGUUAGUAUUGGUUAGAGCUCACCAGAACUGAAUUUGUCAGAAAAAUAGAGGGUAUCUAUGAGGCUUUGUGGCGAGAGACAAAAGGGAACAAGGAAAAAAAGAUGUUGCUGGCAG
Molecule: long non-coding RNA, 2199 nt
Filed under: Homo sapiens (human)
Lineage: Eukaryota; Metazoa; Chordata; Mammalia; Primates; Hominidae
Description: HSALNT0131087
Source: RNAcentral